This 228-nucleotide long non-coding RNA is filed under the name Lathyrus oleraceus (garden pea). Its description in RNAcentral is "Pisum sativum (pea) long non-coding RNA (PSAT_LNC006493)". The record is from RNAcentral. Lineage: Eukaryota; Viridiplantae; Streptophyta; Magnoliopsida; Fabales; Fabaceae.
AGAGAGGUCCAAGUCUGAGAUUUUUUUCUUUUUUUUUUUAUUUUAUUUAUUUAUUUAUUUAAUUAUUUAUUUAAUUAUUAUUUUUUUGUUUUUUUGUUUUUUUUUUGUUUUUUUUUUCCGUUUUUUUUUGUUUUUUUUUUGUUUUAAUUUUUUUUUAAAUAAAGUUUGUUGGAUCUGAUUCUGAUUGACAUGAUGAAAUGCAGUAUGAAAUGUUAAAUGACCUAAAAA